RNAcentral lists this ribosomal RNA (492 nucleotides) under uncultured bacterium. Its description in RNAcentral is "partial 16S ribosomal RNA". It matches the Rfam family "Bacterial small subunit ribosomal RNA", at positions 29 to 507 of the family's 1533-position model. The record is from RNAcentral.
AGUGAACGCUGGCGGUAGGCCUAACACAUGCGAGUCGAACGGCAGCACAGUAAGAGCUUGCUCUUACGGGUGGCGAGUGGCGGACGGGUGAGGAAUACAUCGGAAUCUACUUUUUCGUGGGGGAUAACGUAGGGAAACUUACGCUAAUACCGCAUACGACCUACGGGUGAAAGCAGGGGAUCUUCGGACCUUGCGCGAUUGAAUGAGCCGAUGUCGGAUUAGCUAGUUGGCGGGGUAAAGGCCCACCAAGGCGACGAUCCGUAGCUGGUCUGAGAGGAUGAUCAGCCACACUGGAACUGAGACACGGUCCAGACUCCUACGGGAGGCAGCAGUGGGGAAUAUUGGAUAAUGGGCGCAAGCCUGAUCCAGCCAUACCGCGUGGGUGAAGAAGGCCUUCGGGUUGUAAAGCCCUUUUGUUGGGAAAGAAAAGCAGCAGGUUAAUACCCCGCUGUUCUGACGGUACCCAAAGAAUAAGCACCGGCUAACUUCGUG